GAUGAACGCUGGCGGCGUGCCUAAUACAUGCAAGUCGAGCGAACAGACGAGGAGCUUGCUCCUCUGACGUUAGCGGCGGACGGGUGAGUAACACGUGGAUAACCUACCUAUAAGACUGGGAUAAAUUCGGGAAACCGGAGCUAAUACCGGAUAAUAUAUGGAACCGCAUGGUUCAAUAGUGAAAGACGGUUUUGCUGUCACUUAUAGAUGGAUCCGCGCCGCAUUAGCUAGUUGGUAAGGUAACGGCUUACCAAGGAAACGAAGCGUAGCCGACCUGAGAGGGUGAUCGGCCACACUGGAACUGAGACGCGGUCCAGACUCCUACGGGAGGCAGCAGUAGGGAAUCUUCCGCAAUGGGCGAAAGCCUGACGGAGCAACGCCGCGUGAGUGAUGACGGUCUUCGGAUCGUAAAACUCUGUUAUUAGGGAAGAACAAAUGUGUAAGUAACUAUGCACGUCUUGACGGUACCUAAUCAGAAAGCCACGGCUAACUACGUG
This 497-nucleotide ribosomal RNA is filed under the name uncultured bacterium. Its description in RNAcentral is "partial 16S ribosomal RNA". It matches the Rfam family "Bacterial small subunit ribosomal RNA", at positions 28 to 507 of the family's 1533-position model. The record is from RNAcentral.